Ursus maritimus (polar bear) is the source of this 1579-nucleotide long non-coding RNA. NCBI's taxonomy places the organism in Eukaryota, Metazoa, Chordata, Mammalia, Carnivora, Ursidae. The record is from Ensembl.
CGAGCUUUGUUCUCCCAGUCUAGCCUGAGUCAGAGCUGCUUGCUGUUUGCGUCCUAGGCCACGAGGACUGUCGCUCUUCCUUCAAACGUUUGUAUUAUUAACGUGGUAGACAAAUCCAACCUUGAGAGUGAGGCCGAUAUCUGGCGCGACAGCCACUGGACCUGAGACAUGUUAACUUUUCUCUGCAUUAAGUUAUUUGUUUAGGUAAACAUUUUUGGAGGCACAGUAUGGGCACAUAAUGUGAACUGAACGAAGGAAACCGAAUACUUUAGGCAGGGUCGACAGGGCUGAGUUGAUGCUGUUUGUAUUUCUAUUAUCUGGAUUCAGGCAACAAAAGUUGAGAUUGUAAUAAUGCCUUACAUUUAUUACUAUACAUUUUCACACCCUUUUCAUAUGUGUCAUAGAAUUUGUGCCCAUAAUUGGGAUAGUAUUCAUUCACUGGUAAUUAAAAGUGUUCUGGAUGAUUUUCAAGUGCUGGCUAGGUUCUGGAGAUAGACACAGCACCAAAUAAAACAAGACUCUACCUUCGUGGAAUUUAAAUUCAAGGAGGGGGAGACAUAAACGUCUACAUAAAUCAGGUAGUGGCGACAGGAAACAAAAGCCGGGUAGAUGAGAUGGGAAGUUAGAGGCUGGAGAGGGCAGGACUUUUUGAAGAGGCAGCAUUUGAAUAGACUCCUUGAGGAAGCACUGAAACCAAAUAUUUAUUAAGGCUCUGGACCCCACCCCACCAAACCUCAACUAUAUUUCAAAACCACAUCAUUUGGCGCCUGAACGUGGGGCUUCCGAGUCUUUUCGUCCGGACUCUGAGCUUUGGUGCAAACUUGGACAGCCACCUAAGUCACCAGGACGGCUGCCAAUCUUAAGACUACAAGGAAAACAUGGCGUCUGCUCCUCUGUUGGAGUUGAUGAGCUCUGGAACUGGGAACCCUUUCUCUGCCUUCGGCAGCGCUUCGCCUCUUCUGCCUCCCCUUCUCCCACCUCCUGUUUCUGCACCACCUUGGGUGUGGCCUUCGUAACUGGCUUCUAUACAUCCUCCAUGCAAGCAUGGCUCCUCCCUUCGCUGUCAAGAGGCAAGAAGAGCACCUCCUGGGUCUAACACCGCCUACUCCAGAUCUCUCCACCAGUGUCUCAGAGAGAGAGACAGCCAGCGAGCGAGAGAGAGAACACAAGCAGGAGGAGUGGGAGAGGAAGAAGCAGACUCCCAGCGGAGGAGCCUGAUGUGGGGCUCGAUCCCAGAACGCCAGGAUCACACCCUGAGCUGAAGGCAGAUGCUUAACGACUGAGCCAGGCGCCCCUUAUUUUACGGGAUUUAAGAGACAAAUGCAUGGGGAUAAUUAGGAAUCUAUGUCAAAGGGUAUACAAUACAUAAAGAUGUAAUUUGUGAUCUCAAUAACAGAUAGUAUUAGUUGUAUCCAGUGCAGUUUUUGAUUGUGUGUGAUUGAAGUCAAGUUGGUAUCGAUUUGAAAUAGAUUGUUACAACUUUGAUAUGCAAUCCCCAUGGUAACCACAAAGAAAAUAUUUAUAGAAUACAAAAGGAAAGGAGGAGGGAAUCAAAAGUGUCACUACAAAAAAAAAUAAA